Molecule: long non-coding RNA, 352 nt
Organism: Tachysurus fulvidraco (yellow catfish)
Lineage: Eukaryota; Metazoa; Chordata; Actinopteri; Siluriformes; Bagridae
Exons: 2
Source: RefSeq, a predicted model, not a curated record
AUGAGAGACAGAGAAUGCAAAAGAGAGAGCGCAAAAGAGAGAUCAAGAAGGAGAACGAGAGAGAGAGAGAGAUGAAGAAACAUUACAUACUUCUCAUCACAGAUAGUCAUGACGGGCGAGUCGAGACACAGUGUGAACAGACUUUUCUCUAUCAGCCUCACAGACUCCUUAUUGAUCUUAUCUAAGAGACAGGACAAGGACAGUGAGGAAGGAAUGUUGUGCAGUAGGUAGUGAGUAGUGAUCAGGACAUGUAGUGCAGUAGGUAGUGAGUAGUGAUCAGGACAUGUAGUGCAGUAGGUAGUGAGUAGUGAUCAGGACAUGUAGUGCAGUAGGUAGUGAGUAGUGAUCAGGA